This 494-nucleotide ribosomal RNA is filed under the name uncultured bacterium. RNAcentral describes it as "partial 16S ribosomal RNA". It matches the Rfam family "Bacterial small subunit ribosomal RNA", at positions 28 to 507 of the family's 1533-position model. The record is from RNAcentral.
GACGAACGCUGGCGGCGCGCUUAACACAUGCAAGUCGAACGGAAAGGCCUGCUUUCCCUUGUGGAUUGCGGGUACUCGAGUGGCGAACGGGUGAGUAACACGUGAGUGAUCUGCCCCCAACUUGGGUAUAAGCCUGGGAAACUGGGUCUAAUUCCCGAUAGGACUGCAGGGUGGUGCCUGUGGUGGAAAACGAUUUUCUAGUGGUUGGGGAUGAGCUCGCGGCCUAUCAGCUUGUUGGUGGGGUAAUGGCCUACCAAGGCGGCGACGGGUAGCCGGCCUGGGAGGGUGGACGGCCAGAUUGGGACUGAGAUACGGCCCAGACUCCUACGGGAGGCAGCAGUGGGGAAUAUUGCACAAUGGGAGGAAGCCUGAUGCAGCGACGCCGCGUGGGGGAUGACGGCCUUCGGGUUGUAAACUCCUUUCGACCGCGAGGAAGCCACCUGGUUGGAAGGGUGGUGACGGUAGUGGUAGAAGAAGCACCGGCUAACUACGUG